AUAAUCGCAAUGACCAAGGCUAGUAAAUAAAAAAUGAUGAUAGAGAGUGAAGUUCAUCGGCUGAAAGACUUCACCAUCCGCUUUUUUAUUGAACCUACCUUGAGAGCUUAUUGGCAAACCAAUACGUCUCCGGCGUUAACGGCAUGAGAUGAAUGUAAAAAAGUUUUUUACAUUUAAUAAAGGUGGUACCGCGAAUAACCCUUUCGUCCUUUUU
RNAcentral lists this non-coding RNA (214 nucleotides) under Heyndrickxia sporothermodurans. RNAcentral's name for it is "Bacillus sporothermodurans T-box sequence". It matches the Rfam family "T-box leader". Rfam says of the family: Uncharged tRNA acts as the effector for transcription antitermination of genes in the T-box leader family. The record is from RNAcentral. Lineage: Bacteria; Bacillati; Bacillota; Bacilli; Caryophanales; Bacillaceae.